CAGCCCGUGCCCUCCUUCAUUGUCCUUGCGUUUCUCGCUGGUCGCUAACCAGCAUGCGAGUAAACAUUCUGUUUGUUUAUGAGUUUACUGUCUCUCCCCCAUGAGACCAGAACCUCGUCUGUCUUUUUCAAAGCUGUGUCCCCAGCAGCUGGAACCGGGGCUGCUCAGUAAAUACAGUGCAGGUUGGGCGAAUAAACAGCUCAUUCCUGAUGCCUGUCACUACCGAUUCCACCAGGUAUGACCGAGGCUGGCCACCUGCUCACCAACCCCAUUUCCUUUUCCUGAGCACAUGGGACAAUGACAUUUCCCAGCUUCCUUGCAGUGAAUUCAGAGACAUUCUGACCAAGAAAACAAGGAUAUGAGGGAUGUAAGACAAUGCCAGUCUGGUCCAUAAAACACUCUGCUUGAGCCUCUCAUCUCCCAGCCCCUCACAGUGACCUGGAACACAGCUGAAGAUGGUGACAUCACGAGAUUGAAGGAGCCUGAAUCCCUGAGCCACCACUUGGAGGAGAUCCUGCCAGGAGAGAUGCCCCACCAGACGCUGAGCGCUCUCAUCUGGAAACGCUGAGUGAGAUGGUGGAUCGUGACCAGGAGAGCACUUGGCUGACCUCCCUCCUGGCCCCAGGGCCACUGGGUAGAGCCCCUCAUCUGAGAUCAACCCCACGCCUGUACACCCACAGCGGCCGGAGCAGACGCCAGGCACCGAGCGUGAUGGAUCCGGAGCAGACCUUACCCCGCCCUCCUGGAGCUCCGGCCAGAGCGUGGGAUCCUCAGAACGCCCUCCCCACUCACAGACUUCAUCUGGCCGAGCAGCAGCGAGGCUGGGAUCCCUGACCCCCCCUCCCCCUCCCCCACCCCCUGGAGCGGCUUAUGUGUCAGCCUGUAGCACACAGCACGCGGGGCUGACGCCCUGAAGCCUCCUUGGCUGCUUGGUAAUCAGAGAAGGAACCUGUGCGGAGGUGGGACUCUCAUUUUCACUUAAUUGGAAAGUCCGCCUCAUCAAAGAGAGCACGAUGCUCGGUGGCCCUUUCUUCCCUCGCCAGUGACCAUUAACCUUUAAAAGACACUUUCUGAGCCGUCUGCUGAGGCUCCUUCUCCUGCCAGGUGUAAUGAGGCUCACAAACGGCGAACAUGAGAAAUGCCACAAAUGAGAGGCCCCAGAGCAGGGCCCCGGGCCACCCAGCCAGGCGGGUGCCAGGAGAGGAAUGUCAGCAGCCUGGCGGCCGCCCAGCCCUCAGCCACGGGACUCCGGGACGGCCCGGGCUGAGCUCAUUCCAGAAGUGACUUCGACUGAGCCAGUGGUGGCAAAAAUAAACAAGUGAGAUCUUGUCAUUCCUCUGGCCAAAACCUCUGCUGCUCCCACCCGACUCAGAGCAGAAGCCAAGUCCCUCCAGUGGCUGGGGGCCUGCUGACUCGACCCCUCCUCACCUCUGAUUCCCCUGCCCCUCCACCCCUCACUCUCUCCUCUCCAGCCACACACACCUCCUGGCUGUGGAUCCACGCCAACCCCAGGACCUGUCCCAUCCACUGCUGAGCCCCUGUGCCCCUCAGGGCCCCGCACACAGCAGGCGCUCAGUAAACAUUUGUGAAAUGAGCAGUUAGAGGAAACCGUCGUACAGACACUGUGG
Molecule: long non-coding RNA, 1628 nt
Organism: Equus caballus (horse)
Lineage: Eukaryota; Metazoa; Chordata; Mammalia; Perissodactyla; Equidae
Source: Ensembl